RNAcentral lists this non-coding RNA (29 nucleotides) under Homo sapiens (human). The record is from RNAcentral. Lineage: Eukaryota; Metazoa; Chordata; Mammalia; Primates; Hominidae.
GUGGAUGUGAACUGCGGUCAGGCACCAGA